Molecule: long non-coding RNA, 433 nt
Organism: Helianthus annuus (common sunflower)
Lineage: Eukaryota; Viridiplantae; Streptophyta; Magnoliopsida; Asterales; Asteraceae
Exons: 2
Source: RefSeq, a predicted model, not a curated record
CUCAAAUCUCACUCUCAAAACUCUCUCAAACUCCCUAAAAUUCGCAGCUAUAAUCAGAAUUUCGGACAGAUUCAGCAAGCUUCACUAAAAAGGACAAGUUGCUCCAACUAGCUAAUCCAACAACCAACUUACUCUCGGAUUCCCAAGUUCAAGACUUGCAAAACCCACUACUACAGAACAGAGCUUUAGACGGGGUGAUAUGGGUUUUAAGACGGUGUUUUCAACACCGUCUUAAUGUACACUGGUUUAAAAUCAAGUCUUAUUAGACGGUGUUCAAUUUGAACACCGACUUAAACUUGGUGAACACCGUCUUUUGGUGUUCAAUUUGAACACCGGCUUAAACUUGAUGAACACCGUCUUUUGGUGUUCAAUUUGAUAAACUUGAUGACCACCGUCUUUUGAUAUUAUGAUAUAAAUCGUCGCUGUUAUACUA